GGCGGACGGGUGAGUAACGCGUGGGUAACCUGCCUCAUACAGGGGGAUAACAGUUAGAAAUGACUGCUAAUACCGCAUAAGACCACAAAGCCGCAUGGCUUAGUGGGAAAAACUCCGGUGGUAUGAGAUGGACCCGCGUCUGAUUAGCUUGUUGGCGGGGUAACGGCCCACCAAGGCGACGAUCAGUAGGGGUUCUGAGAGGAAGGUCCCCCACAUUGGAACUGAGACACGGUCCAAACUCCUACGGGAGGCAGCAGUGAGGAAUAUUGGUCAAUGGGCGAGAGCCUGAACCAGCCAAGUAGCGUGCAGGAAGACGGCCCUAUGGGUUGUAAACUGCUUUUAUAAGGGAAUAAAGUGAGUCUCGUGAGACUUUUUGCAUGUACCUUAUGAAUAAGGACCGGCUAAUUCCGUGCCAGCAGCCGCGGUAAUACGGAAGGUCCGGGCGUUAUCCGGAUUUAUUGGGUUUAAAGGGAGCGUAGGCCGGAGAUUAAGCGUGUUGUGAAAUGUAGUGGCUCAACCUCUGCACUGCAGCGCGAACUGGUCUUCUUGAGUACGCACAACGUGGGCGGAAUUCGUGGUGUAGCGGUGAAAUGCUUAGAUAUCACGAAGAACUCCGAUUGCGAAGGCAGCUCACGGGAGCGCAACUGACGCUGAAGCUCGAAAGUGCGGGUAUCGAACAGGAUUAGAUACCCUGGUAGUCCGCACGGUAAACGAUGGAUGCCCGCUGUUGGCCUGAAUAGGUCAGCGGCCAAGCGAAAGCAUUAAGCAUCCCACCUGGGGAGUACGCCGGCAACGGUGAAACUCAAAGGAAUUGACGGGGGCCCGCACAAGCGGAGGAACAUGUGGUUUAAUUCGAUGAUACGCGAGGGACCUUACCCGGGCUUGAAUUGCAGAGGAAGGAUUUGGAGACAAUGACGCCCUUCGGGGUCUCUGUGAAGGUGCUGCAUGGUUGUCGUCAGCUCGUGCCGUGAGGUGUCGGCUUAAGUGCCAUAACGAGCGCAACCCCUCUCCUUAGUUGCCAUCAGUUUAAGCUGGGCACUCUGGGGACACUGCCACCGUAAGGUGUGAGGAAGGUGGGGAUGACGUCAAAUCAUCAUGCCCCUUAUGGCCUGGGCUACACACGUACUACAAUGGCGUCUACAAAGAGCGGCAAGCCUGUGAAGGCAAGCGAAUCUCAUAAAGGACGUCUCAGUUCGGAUUGAAGUCUGCAACCCGACUUCAUGAAGCUGGAAUCGCUAGUAAUCGCGAAUCAGCAUGUCGCGGUGAAUACGUUCUCGGGCCUUGCACUCACCGCCCGUCAAG
This 1302-nucleotide ribosomal RNA is filed under the name uncultured bacterium. RNAcentral's name for it is "bacterial SSU rRNA". It matches the Rfam family "Bacterial small subunit ribosomal RNA", at positions 97 to 1401 of the family's 1533-position model. The record is from RNAcentral.